This 406-nucleotide ribosomal RNA is filed under the name uncultured bacterium. Its description in RNAcentral is "partial 16S ribosomal RNA". It matches the Rfam family "Bacterial small subunit ribosomal RNA", at positions 30 to 526 of the family's 1533-position model. The record is from RNAcentral.
AUUGAACGCUGGCGGCAGGCUUAACACAUGCAAGUCGAGCGAGCGGCGGACGUGUGAGUAAUGUCUGGGACACUGCCUGAUGGAGGGGGAUAACUACUGGAAACGAUAGCUAAUACCGCAUACCAUCAGAUGUGCCCAGAUGGGAUUAGCUAGUAGGUGGGGUAAUGGCUCACCUAGGCGACGAUCCCUAGCUGGUCUGAGAGGAUGACCAGCCACACUGGAACUGAGACACGGUCCAGACUCCUACGGGAGGCAGCAGUGGGGAAUAUUGCACAAUGGGCGCAAGCCUGAUGCAGCCAUGCCGCGUGUGCGAAGAAGGCCUUCGGGUUGUAAAGCACUUUCAGCGAGGAAGCGUUACUCGCAGAAGAAGCACCGGCUAACUACGUGCCAGCAGCCGCGGUAAUAC